This 119-nucleotide ribosomal RNA is filed under the name Corchorus capsularis. Lineage: Eukaryota; Viridiplantae; Streptophyta; Magnoliopsida; Malvales; Malvaceae. The record is from RNAcentral.
GGGUGCGAUCAUACCAGCACUAAUGCACCGGAUUCCAUCAGAACUCCGCAGUUAAACGUGCUUGGGCGAGAGUAGUACUAGGAUGGGUGGCCUCCUGGGAAGUCCUCGUGUUGCACCCC